AUAUCUCCGAGGCUCAGUAUGGUCAGAAGUGCAGAAAUUCCAUGAAUUAGAAAUAACUCCAUGUCUCUAGUAAGGCAGGGAGCAGGGAGCAGGCUGCCACUGCUUCCGUGCAGGCACGACAGACGUCUGUGCCAUCUGUGUGCCCCAUCAGCUUUGCCUGGAGAUUCAGUUGCAUCGCUGCAUCCCUGAUGUUAAGGCAGUACAGAAAAACGUGGUGUGCUCCAGCAGAUCCCUGGGGCAGCCGCAGGAUCAAUGCAGUAGCUGAACAGCUGGGGAAGAACCAUCACAGCAAAGUCUGGAAAACUCCUUUAUCCCUACAGAGGAGAAUGAGUUGGUAGUUUUGCUCAUCUCACCCAUUUCAUUUCAUUAGAGACUGAGGAGGACGGAGUCCUGCAGGCCUUGGAAGGGGUUGGGGAUGCUGCUUUUAAUGCAGGACAUCCCAUGUUGGGAUGCAGGAUACCCAUCCUCCACGGAGUCAGCAAAUAUCCCAAUGAUUUGGACCUGUAUUCCAGAAUCUAAGCUCAUCUCCUACACUGACUUCUUCUACCUGAAUAAAUAAAUCUCAUGUGUCUGCUACUAGUCAGACAGUAAAAGUAAUCUUUAUCGCCAUAAUAUCUUUGUCAGCUUUCCUUUAUUCCAGCAAAGUACUGUAAUAUCUGAAAAAUGCUUUAGAAACAUAAGCAUUUUUUUGAGCAAUAAAUACUGAAAGAGUCUCCAAGACUUGAGUCUUACAAACCAAACCAAACCACUCAGCCAGGUUUUCUUGGCAUGAUUCCUUUUGCAAAAUGGAUAUCUUACUGCCUGCUGGAGCCAGAAGAGAAGAAAGGGAUGAAGGCAGUGGUUUGCUCCAUCCUGAUCAUUCUUUUAGGACUCUGUGUAGAGCAGAAGGGAUAUUUCAAAGCAAUAUUUGACUAAAUGAGGGGCACCGAUGGUCUAGACCCCAAGCUGGUACAGAGGACCCUCACUGGGUUGCUCUCAAUGAAGCAUAGGGUGGGAUGAUGCUCUAGGUCUGCAUUUAAAGCAUCAGAUUUUAAAAUGGUGCAAACUGGUCUGAACCAUCAGCAAACUCCCAAUUUUGCCAUGAAGCUGCUGUCUCACUCCCUGCUCCCUUCUAGGCACCCAGCUCUUAAUGGGCAGCAGGGUUGUGCCAGUUCAGAUGAUCCACGUGUAGCAGGCAGCGGUCAGGCAGUGCUGUACUUGUGCUUCAGUGAGGUGCUGUUUGGGCUUUGGUAUCUGUCAUAGAAUCAACAAAUCCCAGACUGGUUUGCGUUGAAGGGAUCUUAAAGCUCAUCCAGCUCCAACCCCUGCCAUGGGCAGGGACCCCUUCCACUAGAGCAGCUUGCUCCAAGCCCCUGUGUCCAACCUGGCCUUGAACACUGCCAGGGAUGGGGCAGCCACAG
This is a long non-coding RNA of Neopsephotus bourkii (Bourke's parrot), 1400 nucleotides long. RefSeq lists it as uncharacterized. The record is from RefSeq and is a predicted model, not a curated record. Lineage: Eukaryota; Metazoa; Chordata; Aves; Psittaciformes; Psittacidae. The transcript is spliced from 3 exons.